UAGAGAGAGACAUGCGCGCAUAUCAAUAAGCGGAGGAAAAGAAACUAACAAGGAUUCCCUAGUAACGGCGAGUGAAGCGGGAAGAGCUCAAAUUUGAAAUCUUCAAGGUUUUACCUUGACGAAUUGUAGUUUAAAGAAGUGUUUUCUGCUGAAGUUUUGGUAAAAGUUCUUUGGAAUAGGACAUCAUAGAGGGUGAGAAUCCCGUAUUUGACCAUUAUUUUCCAGCUGUGUGAUACACUUUCAAAGAGUCGGAUUGUUUGGGAAUGCAGUCCAAAAUGGGUGGUAAAUUUCAUCUAAAGCUAAAUAUUGGCGAGAGACCGAUAGCGAACAAGUACCGUGAGGGAAAGAUGAAAAGAACUUUGAAAAGAGAGUUAAACAGUACGUGAAAUUGUCAAAAGGGAAGCGUUUGACACCAGUGUUGUUUUCUCGAAAAUCAAUUAAAAAUGGCUCGAUUUUGUAUUGUUGAGACCUUAAAAGCUCACUGUACAUUUUUCGUGUCUUUUUUAAUGCACUUUUCGUUUAACAAGUCAACAUCAGUUUCUUUUGUUGUAAAAGGGUCAUUGGAAGGUGGCUUUCUUUCGGAGAAAGUGUUUAUAGCCUUUGGCCUCUGCAAUCGGAGAGACUGAGGUCUGCAGCGUAGACUCUUCGGGGUUAGAUACAUUUGUGCUAAGUUAUAGCCUUUUCAUAGACAACUUGUUGACUAUGAUCAGUCAUGUAGCUUACUCGCUUAUGCUAUUUUACCUACGCUUAGGAUGUUGAGUCGUAGAGCACGCAG
Molecule: ribosomal RNA, 775 nt
Filed under: uncultured Neocallimastigales
Lineage: Eukaryota; Fungi; Neocallimastigomycota; Neocallimastigomycetes; Neocallimastigales
Description: partial large subunit ribosomal RNA
Rfam family: Eukaryotic large subunit ribosomal RNA
Source: RNAcentral